GAUGAACGCUGGCGGCGUGCUUAACACAUGCAAGUCGAACGGGAUCCCAGGGGUGCUUGUACUUUUUGGUGAGAGUGGCGAACGUGUGAGUAACACGUGAGUAACCUGUCCUUUUCUUGGGGAUAAACAUUCGGAAGGAUGUUUAAUACCUUAUGUUCUUUCUGCCUGGCGUGGGGUGGACGGGAAAGGCUUUGGCCGGACUUGGGUGGGCUCGCGGGCUAUUGGCGUGUUGGCGGGGUGAUGGCGUACCAUGGCUUUGGCGGGUAGACGGCCGGAGGGGGUGGUCGGUCUGAGUGGGACUGAGGUACGGUCCAGACUGCUGCGGGGGGCAGCAGUGGGCGAUGUUGGAAAAUGGGCGACAGCCUGAUGCAGCGACGGCGCGUGGCGGAUGAAGGCCUAAGGGUUGUUGGCUUCUUUUACUCUGAACGUGGCAUGCCAGUGGGUGUGUUGCGGUAAGGGGUUGAUAAGCGCCGGCUAACUACGUG
RNAcentral lists this ribosomal RNA (485 nucleotides) under uncultured bacterium. Its description in RNAcentral is "partial 16S ribosomal RNA". It matches the Rfam family "Bacterial small subunit ribosomal RNA", at positions 28 to 507 of the family's 1533-position model. The record is from RNAcentral.